RNAcentral lists this ribosomal RNA (434 nucleotides) under uncultured Clostridium sp. Its description in RNAcentral is "partial 16S ribosomal RNA". It matches the Rfam family "Bacterial small subunit ribosomal RNA", at positions 341 to 792 of the family's 1533-position model. The record is from RNAcentral. Lineage: Bacteria; Bacillati; Bacillota; Clostridia; Eubacteriales; Clostridiaceae.
ACGGAAGGCAGCAGUGGGGAAUAUUGGACAAUGGGGGAAACCCUGAUCCAGCGACGCCGCGUGAGUGAAGAAGUAUUUCGGUAUGUAAAGCCCUAUCAGCAAGGAAGAAAAUGACGGUACUUGACUAAGAAGCUCCGGCUAAAUACGUGCCAGCAGCCGCGGUAAUACGUAUGGAGCAAGCGUUAUCCGGAUUUACUGGGUGUAAAGGGAGCGUAGACGGCAAAGCAAGUCUGAAGUGAAAUCCCGGGGCUCAACCCCGGAACUGCUUUGGAAACUGUUUAGCUAGAGUGCAGGAGAGGUAAGCGGAAUUCCUAGUGUAGCGGUGAAAUGCGUAGAUAUUAGGAGGAACACCAGUGGCGAAGGCAGCUUACUGGGCUGUAACUGACGUUGAGGCUCGAAAGCGUGGGGAGCAAACAGGAUUAGAUACCCUGGUA